Long non-coding RNA from Gorilla gorilla gorilla (western lowland gorilla), 2583 nucleotides. RefSeq lists it as uncharacterized. The record is from RefSeq and is a predicted model, not a curated record. NCBI's taxonomy places the organism in Eukaryota, Metazoa, Chordata, Mammalia, Primates, Hominidae. The transcript is spliced from 4 exons.
AUGCAUUUCUACUUGUUAUUCAAUCGUGUUGGGCUUAUCGACUCGUUUAUCGUGUCAAUGAGGAAUACCAGUAAAUGUAAAUCCAUCAGUCAGAAGGCAUUUUUUCUCCUCUAAAGGCUCCUCUCCGCCCCUUAACGUCCAGUCUUUCCCCACUUGGCUCUCCCUGUCCUGUCAAGGGGUUCGGUGGAAAAGUCUUUUAAGUUCCCUUCACAGAAGAAUUGUAGACUCUGCCGGUCUAGUCUCUGGGCCAACCCUCCCCGUCUCUUUAGUAAAGAUGUUUUUUAUUAUUUUCCUUGUGCCGUAUAUUAUCCUUAGGCUUGAGUAACUUUCCGGGACUGCAGACCUCUUGGUUUCCUUUCAAUCUGGAGGACUUGAUCCCAUGGCCAGCUUCGGAGCUCACCAGGAGGGGAAGACCCAUUACAUCCACGGGCGUCUGGCGCCACCUUGUGAUGGAGUCUCUCUCUGUUGCACAGGCUGGAGUGUGGUGGCACCAUCAUGACUCACUGCAACCUCCAUCUCCUGGGUUCAAGCAAUUCUCCUGCCUCAGCCUCCAGAGUAGCUGGGAUUACAGGAUCUUACUCUGUUGCCCAGACUGGAGUGCUGUGGCAGGAUCACGACUCACUGCAGCCUUGACCUCCUGGGCUCAAGUGAUUUAUCCUGCCUCAACCUUCCCACAGUUGGUACUACAGUUGUGCACCCACCUGGGAUUGGAGUUCCAGAAGGGGAGAGGGAUUGCAGCACUGUUCACAACAGCCAAGAUUCAGAAGCAACCUGAGUGUCCAUCAACAGACAAAUGGAUAAAGAAAAUGUGGCACAUACACACAAUGGAGUACUAUCAACCAUAAAAAUGAGUGACAGCCUGUCAUUUGCAACAACAUGGAUGGAAUUGGAGGUCAUUAUGUUAAGUGAAAGAAGCCAGGCGCAGAAAGACAAACUUUGCAUGUUCUCACUCGUCUGUGGGGACUAAAAAUUAAAACAAUUGAAGUCAUGAAGAUAGAGCAUAGAAGGAUGGUUACCAGAGGCUGAGGAGGGCAGUGAGGAAAAGUGGGGAUGCUUAAUGGGUACAAAAAUAGAGUCAGAUAGAAUUAAUAAGAUCUAGUAUGUGAUAGCACAAUGAGGUGACUACAAGUCAACAAUAAUUUAUUGAAUAUUUUAAAAUAACCAAAAGAGUAUAAUUGGAAUGUUCAUAACACAAAGAAAUGAUACAUGCUUGAGGUGAUGGAAACCCCAUCGACCCUGAUGUGGUUAUUACACAUUGUAUGCUUGUAUCAAAACAUCUCAUGUACCCCAUAAAUAUAUACACCUACUAUGUAUCCAUAAAAAUUAAAAGAAAAAACAAAGGAAGAAGGGAACUGGGCUCAGGAAGGUCUUACUUGAUUGGAACAGUUGAAGGCUGGUUUUGGCUCUCUGGGCCCUGUUGAGGUUUAAAGCUGAUUCUUUCUCCUAUGGGCACUUUUGUGAAUUUUUUGUAGGCAUCCCUGCUGAAACUAAGACUGUCACUCCUGUGAGGUAGGCAACACAUUUUUUUUAAAGCUUUAUUCCUUAGCCUCUGGUUUUCCUAGACGCCGCCUUCCACUCUGCAUUGCAGGCUGUUUGGCUUCCUCAAGGUGAGCCAGGCUCCCACCUUCUUUCUUCCUUAGUGGCAGGGACACAAACCAAGCUGUCUGCAUGGGACCCUAAGCUUGGGGCUAAGAGGUCAUCUGCUCCAUUCCACCCUUUCCCUGGGGCCAUGAGACUCAGAGGGCUUCAACAGCUCUCUUCAAAGACAUCCUCUUCACACGUCCUUGGAAAUGUCCAACAACUCAGUCCUUUUCAUAUGCUUUCAAAAGGUGGCAGGCAUGAUUUUUAAAUGACUUUUAGUCUGGGUGUGGUGGCCCACACCUGUAAUCCUAGCAGUUCUGGAAGCUGAGGCAGAUGGAUUGCUUGAGCCCACGAAUUCGAGACCAGCCUGGGCGACAUGGCAGAACCUCAUCUCUACAAAAAAUUAAAAAAUUAGCCAGGUGUGGUGACAUUCACCUAUAGUCCUAGCUACUCGGGUGGCUGAGUGGGGAGGAUCACCCAAGCCCGGGAGGUCGAGGCUACAAUAAGCUGUAAUCACACCACUGCACUCCAUCCUGGGAGACAGAGUGAUACCCUGUCUUAAAAAAAUUAGUUUUAAGGUUAACAUUAUGUUACAUACUGAAAUGGUAAGGAGAGAACGGUGUCCUUGCAAUGAGAGCAGGAUAUUAUUAAACAAAAAUAGGCAGUCAUGAAAUAUAUUGCUAUUGGAAAUAAAAAAAAGACUGCAACAGGCAGGAUAGACAACCGGUGAAAAUAGCUGGUGAAAGAUAAGUGAAUUAAAAGAUAGAAAUGGUGGGCGCAUUGGCGCCUGUCUGUAAUGGGCUCACAGUGCAUUGAAAGGCCAGAAGUUUGAGACCAGCCUGAGCAACAUAGUGACAUCCCAUCUCUUAAAAAUAAAAAAAAAAUUAGCUGAAUGAUGACAUGUACCUGUAGUCCCAGCUACUUGGGAGGCUGAAGUGAGAGGAUUUGCUUGGGCCCAGGAGUUUGAAGUUGCAAUAAGCUAUGAUCGUACCACAGCACUCC